This 67-nucleotide transfer RNA is filed under the name Marmota monax (woodchuck). RNAcentral's name for it is "tRNA.Ala". Lineage: Eukaryota; Metazoa; Chordata; Mammalia; Rodentia; Sciuridae. The record is from RNAcentral.
GGUUGUGGCUCAAUGGUAGAGCACUUCCCUGGCAUGCAUGAGACACCAGGUUCAUUCCCUAGAACCA